GCAGGCCUAACACAUGCAAGUCGAGCGGCCGUAGCAAUACGGCAGCGGCAGACGGGAUAGUAACACGUGGGAACGUACCCUUCAGUUCGGAACAACCCAGGGAAACUUGGGCUAAUACCGAAUACGUCCGUAAGGAGAAAGAUUUAUCGCUGAAGGAUCGGCCCGCGUCUGAUUAGCUAGUUGGUGGGGUAAUGGCCCACCAAGGCGACGAUCAGUAGCUGGUCUAAGAGGAUGAUCAGCAUCACUGGGACUGAGACACGGCCCAGACUCCUACGGGAGGCAGCAGUGGGGAAUAUUGGACAAUGGGCGCAAGCCUGAUCCAGCCAUGCCGCGUGGAUGAUGAAGGCCCUAGGGUUGUAAAGUCCUUUCGGCGGGGAAGAUAAUGACGGUACCCGCAGAAGAAGCCCCGGCUAACUUCGUGCCAGCAGCCGCGGUAAUACGAAGGGGGCUAGCGUUGCUCGGAAUCACUGGGCGUAAAGCGCCUAGGCGGACUCUUAAGUCGGUGGUGAAAUCCUGGAGCUCAACUCCAGAACUGCCUUCGAUACUGGGAGUCUCGAGUCCGAGAGAGGUGAGUGGUACUGCGAGUGUAGAGGUGAAAUUCGUAGAUAUUCGCAAGAACACCAGUGGCGAAGGCGGCUCACUGGCUCGGUACUGACGCUGAGGAGCGAAAGCGUGGGGAGCAAACAGGAUUAGAUACCCUGGUAGUCCACGCCGUAAACGAUGGAUGCUAGCCGUUGGCAGGCUUGCCUGUCAGUGGCGCAGCUAACGCAUUAAGCAUCCCGCCUGGGGAGUACGGUCGCAAGAUUAAAACUCAAAGGAAUUGACGGGGGCCUGCACAAGCGGUGGAGCAUGUGGUUCAAUUCGAAGCAACGCGCAGAACCUUACCAACCUUUGACAUGUCCCGUAUGAGCAACAGAGAUGUAGCUCUUCAGUUCGGCUGCCGGGAACACAGGUGCUGCAUGGCUGUCGUCAGCUCGUGUCGUGAGAUGUUGGGUUAAGUCCCGCAACGAGCGCAACCCUCGCCCUUAGUUGCCAUCAUUCAGUUGGGCACUCUAAGGGGACUGCCGGUGAUAAGCCGCGAGGAAGGUGGGGAUGACGUCAAGUCCUCAUGGCCCCUACAGGUUGGGCUACACACGUGCUACAAUGGCGGUGACAAUGGGACGCAAUGGGGCAACCCUGCGCAAAUCUCAAAAAGCCGUCUCAGUUCGGAUUGCACUCUGCAACUCGAGUGCAUGAAGUUGGAAUCGCUAGUAAUCGCAGAUCAGCACGCUGCGGUGAAUACGUUCCCGGGCCUUGUACACACCGCCCGUCACACCAUGGGAGCUGGUUUUACCUGAAGGCGGUGCGCUAACCCGCAAGGGAGGCAGCCGACCACGGUAGGAUCAGCGACUGGGGUGAAGUUGUAACAAGGUA
This 1413-nucleotide ribosomal RNA is filed under the name metagenome. RNAcentral describes it as "bacterial SSU rRNA". It matches the Rfam family "Bacterial small subunit ribosomal RNA". The record is from RNAcentral.